RNAcentral lists this transfer RNA (86 nucleotides) under Cytophagaceae bacterium. RNAcentral's name for it is "tRNA-Leu". It matches the Rfam family "tRNA". From Rfam's summary of the family: Transfer RNA (tRNA) molecules are approximately 80 nucleotides in length. Lineage: Bacteria; Pseudomonadati; Bacteroidota; Cytophagia; Cytophagales; Cytophagaceae. The record is from RNAcentral.
GCGGGUGUGGCGAAACUGGCGAGACGCAGUAGAUUUAGGUUCUGCCGGAGAAAUCCGUGGGGGUUCGAAUCCCUCCACCCGCACCA